RNAcentral lists this ribosomal RNA (468 nucleotides) under uncultured bacterium. RNAcentral's name for it is "partial 16S ribosomal RNA". It matches the Rfam family "Bacterial small subunit ribosomal RNA", at positions 28 to 507 of the family's 1533-position model. The record is from RNAcentral.
GACGAACGCUGGCGGCGUGCUUAACACAUGCAAGUCGAACGGAAAGGCCCUGCUUUUGUGUGGUGCUCGAGUGGCGAACGGGUGAGUAACACGUGCGUAACCUGCCCUUGACUUUGGGAUAACUUCAGGAAACUGGGGCUAAUACCGGAUAGGAGCUCCUGCUGCAUGGUGGAGGUUGGAAAGUUUCGGCGGUUGGGGAUGGACUCGCGGCUUAUCAGCUUGUUGGUGGGGUAGUGGCUUACCAAGGCUUUGACGGGUAGCCGGCCUGAGAGGGUGACCGGGCACAUUGGGACUGAGAUACGGCCCAGACUCCUACGGGAGGCAGCAGUGGGGAAUAUUGCACAAUGGGCGGAAGCCUGAUGCAGCAACGCCGCGUGCGGGAUGACGGCCUUCGGGUUGUAAACCGCUUUCGCCUGUGACGAAGCGUUAGUGACGGUAAUGGGUAAAGAAGCACCGGCUAACUACGUG